CCUACGGGAGACAGCAGUCGAGAAUCAUUCACAAUGGGGGAAACCCUGAUGGUGCGACGCCGCGUGGGGGAAUGAAGGUCUUCGGAUUGUAAACCCCUGUCAUGUGGGAGCAAAUUAAAAAGAUAGUACCACAAGAGGAAGAGACGGCUAACUCUGUGCCAGCAGCCGCGGUAAUACAGAGGGCUUAAGCGUUGUUCGGGAUCACUGGGCGUAAAGCGUGCGUAGGCUGUUUCGAAAGUCGUGUGUGAAAGGCGCGGGCUCAACCCGCGGAGGGCAGAUGAAACUGCGGGACUAGAGUAAUCGAGGGGGAACCGGAAUUCGCGGUGUAGCAGUGAAAUGCGUAGAUAUCGAGAAGAACACUCGUGGCGAAGGCGGGUUCCUGGACAUUAACUGACGCUGAGGCACGAAGGCCAGGGGAGCGAAAGGGAUUAGAUACCCUGGUAGUC
RNAcentral lists this ribosomal RNA (446 nucleotides) under uncultured bacterium. RNAcentral's name for it is "partial 16S ribosomal RNA". It matches the Rfam family "Bacterial small subunit ribosomal RNA", at positions 338 to 795 of the family's 1533-position model. The record is from RNAcentral.